AGGACAGAGCCGGAGCCGCAGAGACACAGUAACGAUAACAGCAGCAGCAGCUGAGUGCGACUGUACGCCGCCAUCUUCACACCACUGUCAAGCUAGUCCUAAUGACACAGCAUCGCUUCCGGUGGCGCAGUUGGCAGGUGUAGAACUGGGCUGUCAAUGACUGAACAGCGCCACCGUGUGGUGAAUCUGCAACCUGCUAAACAUGAGCGAGGAAGAAAGACAAAUGGUUUCACAGACACUACAAUAUUCACAAUUCAACCCUAAAAGACACGAAAAAGGUGUUUCAGCAGCUGAAUAUGAUGGGAACCAGUAAGAGCAAUAAAUCCUCCCAGUUUGGAGCUGACAGCUGCUGGGAGGCCGUUUCUGGUUCACCUCCAGCGACACGUCCCACCUGCUCUCACAGUCACUUACAACUUUUAUUUUGAAGGUAUAUUAUGUUGGGGGUUUCUUUUUACCUUGAGCCACACGCUUCUCUUAUUAAGCUACAUUUUAUUGAUCGGACUGAGAGUCUAAACAUGUCAGUUAAGGUUGACGCAUCUCUUCACAGACCUCUUUGUGAACAGGUCUGACUAUUUUUUUCACUUCAGAGAAAAUUGAAAACUGUUCAUGACUUACAUGCACGUCCUGAGUUCUUCAAAUGCCAUGUUUUGAUGCUUUGAGCGCCAUAAACAGCAUUUAAUUUACCUCCAUUAUGUUGCUGGUGGUAGCAGAAGUUACAGCAUAUUGUGACUUACAACCAAAUGAAAAAUUAAAAUCAAAAAGUCAGACUUGCAGAUGGUUUCAGUUUGUAAACAACAGCUUUUAUUGCCUUUUAUCUUCAUUUUAACUGGCGUGUAUACCUUCCAAACAGUUCUCAUCUGAAGCUGGCUUCUUUAAAUUUUAUUUAAUUUAUAUUUAAGAAAAAGUAUCAAAACUCUUAUUGCUUUGUCAUCUUUCUUUACACUAAGCACAACUUGCUUUUAGAGUAUUAUAAAAUACUUUUAAGAUAAGUAGUAUCGUGAUGGUUGCUUUUACGUGAGUCACUAUCAAGCAAGAUAUAUUUAUUUUUUACGGAGCUAUGAAUGGAUUUGUGCAGUCUGUGAAAUAGCAGGAAUGAAACAAACUCACAGACAGAUGAAAGGAGCAGUCAGCUGUUACAGACUACAGCUGAGCUGAGUCAAAGGAAACCAAGGACAGCAGAAAAAUCCCUCCACAGUUUAGGAAACUGAGCUUUCAUUGUCUUUAGGAGAUCAUGUGUUGGCUGGUUUCAUUUUCUCUUCAAAUAUCACAGAUGGCUCUUUAUAAAUAUCAGACUUUGUCUCCUGAUAGCAGAGUUCGGAUUUUAACCCUUCAGUCACGAACUUACAUCCUUCACUUGUAGUAAUAUCAGAACACAGUAUGAUAGUAAUUUACAGUUCCCUCAUAAGGUUUUACUCAGACUUUUACACAAAUCCCAUAGAAAGACCAAAACCAAUGCGUUAAUGCAUUUCAUAAUACUUCCCAUCUGUCCCUCAGCUCCGAGCCCAUUGGUUCCUAUUGAAGAUGUAAAUCUUUA
This is a long non-coding RNA of Siniperca chuatsi (mandarin fish), 1534 nucleotides long. RefSeq lists it as uncharacterized. The transcript is spliced from 3 exons. The record is from RefSeq and is a predicted model, not a curated record. Lineage: Eukaryota; Metazoa; Chordata; Actinopteri; Centrarchiformes; Sinipercidae.